UUGAAUAGGCAUAAUUAGUACUCGUAGGCGAACCAAACGAGCCCCAUCAAUUAAACCUCAUUUGUUUCCAAUUAAACAGUAUAAAUAAUAUAGCAGUCGAUUAAUUUUGAAUAAACCCUCAGAGAACUGUGAAUGAUAAACUAGAGCGAAUAUAUACCAAAUGGUCUCUUUCUUGAAAUCAUUCGAUGAUAGCUUACCGCAAAAUCAUCCGGAGUUAGCAAUCACCAACGAUUUGUUGCUUUCUGGAACUAAGAUUUACUUGGAGAGGUCGAAUUCAAAUGAUUCGGCGUUGAAUCGAGGGAGGAGAUGGCAGGUUAAUUUUAACAUCAAGCGGCACAUUGUUCUUGGGCGUGUUUGCUGAACAAACUAGCUACUUAACGAAGGAAAAUGGUGUUUUUACUUAAAUCACAUUGAGGAAUAGCACAGUUCUUUGACACUCCUUGUGAAGAUGCUCAAGAACAACUUAGACAGGUCCAAAUUUUAAUAGUUUGUAUGAUUGUCAUUUUGAUUUUCGAGAUUACUUUAUUACAUUAGAGAAUUGCACAAUCCUUUAAUCGGUGUACGUCCCAAUAAAGUUUGAUGUGCUUUUAAA
Solanum dulcamara is the source of this 592-nucleotide long non-coding RNA. RefSeq lists it as uncharacterized. The record is from RefSeq and is a predicted model, not a curated record. NCBI's taxonomy places the organism in Eukaryota, Viridiplantae, Streptophyta, Magnoliopsida, Solanales, Solanaceae. The transcript has 2 exons.